This is a small nuclear RNA of Phodopus roborovskii (desert hamster), 156 nucleotides long. RefSeq annotates it as U1 spliceosomal RNA. Lineage: Eukaryota; Metazoa; Chordata; Mammalia; Rodentia; Cricetidae. The transcript has a single exon. The record is from RefSeq and is a predicted model, not a curated record.
AUACUGACCUGGCAGGGGAGAUACCAUGGUCAAGAAUAUGGUUUUCUUAAGGCAUGGAUUAUCCUUUGUACUCCAGAUAAGAUGACCCCUGUGAGUGUGGGGAACUUGACUGUGUAAAUUCUAGAUGUUGGGGGAUUGUAUUUGUGCUCUCUCCUA